CAAGUUGAAAAUUUUCGUCACAUUUUUCGCAGGAACUACAAUACAAGGAUUUCUGAAAUUUGUUUUCAGGAUUUAUAUAAGUCAGCUAUACCGUGUGAUGCGUUUUCAGAUUCAUCACUCGACAACUUCCUGUUUACCGAACACUUGUAUGAUUUUACACAUGAUAGCCAACUUGAAAAUUUUCGUCACAUUUUUCUCAGGAACUACAAUACAAGGAUUUCUGAAAUUUGGUUUCAGGAUUUGUAUAAGUCAGCUAUACCGUGUGAUGCGUUUUCAGAUUCAUCACUCGACAACUUCCUGUUUACCGAACACUUGUAUGAUUUUACACAUGAUAGCCAACUUGAAAAUUUUCGUCACAUUUUUCUCAGGAACUACAAUACAAGGAUUUCUGAAAUUUGGUUUCAGGAUUUAUAUAAGUCAGCUAUACCGUGUGAUGCGUUUUCAGAUUCAUCACUCGACAACUUCCUGUUUACCGAACACUUGCAUAUUUUUACACUAUUAAUAUUAUCCACUUGCGGCGGGGGUAUCAUCAGUGAGCAGUAGCUCGCAGUUUCACUUGUUUUUAAUGUUAAUGUUUUUCAACAAAAAAAUAUUUUUAUUAAUUAGGAACUUUAUUAUCAUGUUUUACUAAAUAAAUAAAUAAAAAUAUAUUUCUACCUGCCUACCAAUAUUUUUUAUUCAUGGGUACGGGAACAGCAAACAAUAACUUAAGUUUGGCCUACCUUUUCAAUUUUUGGAGUGUCAUAAUCCUUAACAAAAUCAUCGACUAGCUUCUGAUGGACGAAAAACCUAUCUUCAUGUUUUGGUGCAAUCCAG
Molecule: long non-coding RNA, 816 nt
Filed under: Mytilus galloprovincialis (Mediterranean mussel)
Lineage: Eukaryota; Metazoa; Mollusca; Bivalvia; Mytilida; Mytilidae
Source: RNAcentral